This 526-nucleotide ribosomal RNA is filed under the name bacterium fme09x26p247. RNAcentral describes it as "bacterial SSU rRNA". It matches the Rfam family "Bacterial small subunit ribosomal RNA", at positions 48 to 556 of the family's 1533-position model. The record is from RNAcentral.
GCUAUACAUGCAGUCGAGCGGACUUGAGAGAAGCUUGCUUCUCUGAUGGUUAGCGGCGGACGGGUGAGUAACACGUAGGCAACCUGCCCUCAAGUUUGGGACAACUACCGGAAACGGUAGCUAAUACCGAAUAAUUGUUUUCUUCGCCUGAAGGAAACUGGAAAGACGGAGCAAUCUGUCACUUGGGGAUGGGCCUGCGGCGCAUUAGCUAGUUGGUGAGGUAACGGCUCACCAAGGCGACGAUGCGUAGCCGACCUGAGAGGGUGAUCGGCCACACUGGGACUGAGACACGGCCCAGACUCCUACGGGAGGCAGCAGUAGGGAAUCUUCCGCAAUGGGCGAAAGCCUGACGGAGCAAUGCCGCGUGAGUGAUGAAGGUUUUCGGAUCGUAAAGCUCUGUUGCCAGGGAAGAACGCUUGGGAGAGUAACUGCUCUCAAGGUGACGGUACCUGAGAAGAAAGCCCCGGCUAACUACGUGCCAGCAGCCGCGGUAAUACGUAGGGGCAAGCGUUGUCCGGAAUUAUUG